GACGAACGCUGGCGGCGUGCUUAACACAUGCAAGUCGUACGGUAAGGCCCUUUCUGGGGUUCACGAGUGGCGCACGGGUGAGUAACACGUGAGUAACCUGCCCACAACUUUGGGAUAACGCUAGGAAACUGGUGCUAAUACUGGCUAUGUGCUCCUGCUGCAUGGUGGGGGUUGGAAAGCUCCGGCGGUUGUGGAUGGACUCGCGGCCUAUCAGCUUGUUGGUGGGGUAGUGGCCUACCAAGGCGGCGACGGGUAGCCGGCCUGAGAGGGUGACCGGCCACAUUGGGACUGAGAUACGGCCCAGACUCCGACGGGAGGCAGCAGUGGGGAAUAUUGCACAAUGGGCGCAAGCCUGAUGCAGCAACGCCGCGGGCGGGAUGACGGCCUUCGGGUUGUAAACCGCUUUCAGCAGGGACGAAGCUUUUUGUGACGGUACCUGCAGAAGAAGCACCGGCUAACUACGUG
RNAcentral lists this ribosomal RNA (465 nucleotides) under uncultured bacterium. RNAcentral's name for it is "partial 16S ribosomal RNA". It matches the Rfam family "Bacterial small subunit ribosomal RNA", at positions 28 to 507 of the family's 1533-position model. The record is from RNAcentral.